This 489-nucleotide ribosomal RNA is filed under the name uncultured bacterium. RNAcentral's name for it is "partial 16S ribosomal RNA". It matches the Rfam family "Bacterial small subunit ribosomal RNA", at positions 30 to 507 of the family's 1533-position model. The record is from RNAcentral.
AUUGAACGCUGGCGGCAGGCUUAACACAUGCAAGUCGAGCGGUAGCACAGGGGAGCUUGCUCCCUGGGUGACGAGCGGCGGACGGGUGAGUAAUGUCUGGGAAACUGCCUGAUGGAGGGGGAUAACUACUGGAAACGGUAGCUAAUACCGCAUAACGUCGCAAGACCAAGAGGGGGACCUUCCGGGCCUCUUCCCUCCAGAUUGGCCAGAUGGGAUUAGCUAGUAGGUGGGGUAAUUGCUCACCCAGGCGACGAUCCCUAGCUGGUCUGAGAGGAUGAACAGCCACACUGGAACUGAGACACGGUCCAGACUCCUACGGGAGGCAGCAGUGGGGAAUAUUGCACAAUGGGCGCAAGCCUGAUGCAGCCAUGCCGCGUGUGUGAAGAAGGCCUUCGGGUUGUAAAGCACUUUCAGCGAGGAGGAAGGUGGUGAGCUUAAUACGUUCAUCAAUUGACGUUACUCGCAGAAGAAGCACCGGCUAACUCCGUG